AGCCAUAGCUUUUACCAGAAUCCCAAGGGUUUGUGACUCCUGAACACUGGGUACCCUUUCUGCUCCAUUUUAAUCAGUGCUGUAGGCAGGGCUUCUGAAGGCAACUUUCAAGAUUUUCAUCUGGACAGUAAAAGUGGAAAUUAUGUUUCCCAGCAUCACUUGCAGUUAAGUUGGGGCCAUGUGACCAAGUCUGUCCAAUGGAAUGUGGGCAUGAGUGAUAUACAUUCUUUCUAGGACUGAGCCUUCCAUCUUCACAGGUGAUCCUCUAGCCCUCUCCUUCCCUGCUAUGGGGACCACAUGUUCCAGAUGGUACAGCAACAAGAUAGAGGAGGGCUGCCUAAGUCCUGUGCAUGGUGCUGUGAAUGAGAAAUAAACUUGUGCUGUGCUAA
This is a non-coding RNA of Ictidomys tridecemlineatus (thirteen-lined ground squirrel), 389 nucleotides long. The record is from RefSeq and is a predicted model, not a curated record. NCBI's taxonomy places the organism in Eukaryota, Metazoa, Chordata, Mammalia, Rodentia, Sciuridae.